Long non-coding RNA from Sebastes umbrosus (honeycomb rockfish), 260 nucleotides. RefSeq lists it as uncharacterized. The transcript is spliced from 3 exons. Lineage: Eukaryota; Metazoa; Chordata; Actinopteri; Perciformes; Sebastidae. The record is from RefSeq and is a predicted model, not a curated record.
GGCUGCCACUCACGUUUCCACCAUGGAUGUAUUCCACUAUUCCACCGUUGUCUUCCAGCAACACGUCACCUCGCCAGAUUUAAGAACAAGACUUCUCCUUGAGCGAGACUCUUUCCAUAACAUCAGACACUUAUGAUAACAAUCAGAGCAUGUCAUGGCAAAAACAAGCACUUUUAGUGGACGUAAAUGACAGUGCCAGCUUGCCCCAAUAGGAUUACACUGCAGCCCGUGAGCAGCUGCCGGUUGCAGCGUUGUCACAU